Molecule: ribosomal RNA, 377 nt
Filed under: uncultured bacterium
Lineage: Bacteria
Description: bacterial SSU rRNA
Rfam family: Bacterial small subunit ribosomal RNA
Source: RNAcentral
GAUGAGCGCUGGCGGCGUGCCUAAUACAUGCAAGUCGAGCGGUAACAGGUCUAGUUUACUAGAUGCUGACGAGCGGCGGACGGCUGAGUAACACGUAGGAACGUACCCCAAAGUGAGGGAUAACUGCUCGAAAGAGUAGCUAAUACCGCAUGUGAUCUAAGGAUUAAAGCUUUAUGCGCUUUGGGAACGGCCUGCGUUCGAUUAGCUAGUUGGUGAGGUAANAGCUCACCAAGGCGAUGAUCGAUAGCUGGUCUGAGAGGAUGAUCAGCCAGACUGGGACUGAGACACGGCCCAGACUCCUACGGGAGGCAGCAGUGGGGAAUUUUUCGCAAUGGGCGCAAGCCUGACGAAGCAACGCCGCGUGGAGGAUGAAGGCC